RNAcentral lists this ribosomal RNA (1332 nucleotides) under uncultured bacterium. RNAcentral's name for it is "bacterial SSU rRNA". It matches the Rfam family "Bacterial small subunit ribosomal RNA", at positions 28 to 1381 of the family's 1533-position model. The record is from RNAcentral.
AACGAACGCUGGCGGCGUGGAUAAGACAUGCAAGUCGAACGAGAGAAUUGCUAGCUUGCUAAUAAUUCUCUAGUGGCGCACGGGUGAGUAACACAUGAGUAACCUGCCCCCGAGAGCGGGAUAGCCCUGGGAAACUGGGAUUAAUACCGCAUAGUAUCGAAAGAUUAAAGCAGCAAUGCGCUUGGGGAUGGGCUCGCGGCCUAUUAGUUAGUUGGUGAGGUAACGGCUCACCAAGGCGAUGACGGGUAGCCGGUCUGAGAGGAUGUCCGGCCACACUGGAACUGAGACACGGUCCAGACACCUACGGGUGGCAGCAGUCGAGAAUCAUUCACAAUGGGGGAAACCCUGAUGGUGUGACGCCGCGUGGGGGAAUGAAGGUCUUCGGAUUGUAAACCCCUGUCAUGUGGGAGCAAAUUAAAAAGAUAGUACCACAAGAGGAAGAGACGGCUAACUCUGUGCCAGCAGCCGCGGUAAUACAGAGGUCUCAAGCGUUGUUCGGAAUCACUGGGCGUAAAGCGUGCGUAGGCUGUUUCGUAAGUCGUGUGUGAAAGGCGCGGGCUCAACCCGCGGACGGCACAUGAUACUGCGAGACUAGAGUAAUGGAGGGGGAACCGGAAUUCUCGGUGUAGCAGUGAAAUGCGUAGAUAUCGAGAGGAACACUCGUGGCGAAGGCGGGUUCCUGGACAUUAACUGACGCUGAGGCACGAAGGCCAGGGGAGCGAAAGGGAUUAGAUACCCCUGUAGUCCUGGCAGUAAACGGUGCACGCUUGGUGUGCGGGGAAUCGACCCCCUGCGUGCCGGAGCUAACGCGUUAAGCGUGCCGCCUGGGGAGUACGGUCGCAAGAUUAAAACUCAAAGAAAUUGACGGGGACCCGCACAAGCGGUGGAGUAUGUGGCUUAAUUCGAUGCAACGCGAAGAACCUUACCUGGGCUUGACAUGUAAUGAACAACAUGUGAAAGCAUGCGACUCUUCGGAGGCGUUACACAGGUGCUGCAUGGCCGUCGUCAGCUCGUGUCGUGAGAUGUUUGGUUAAGUCCAGCAACGAGCGCAACCCCUGUUGCCAGUUACCAGCACGUGAAGGUGGGGACUCUGGCGAGACUGCCCAGAUCAACUGGGAGGAAGGUGGGGACGACGUCAGGUCAGUAUGGCCCUUAUGCCCAGGGCUGCACACGUACUACAAUGCCCAGUACAGAGGGGGCCGAAGCCGCGAGGCGGAGGAAAUCCUGAAAACUGGGCCCAGUUCGGACUGUAGGCUGCAACCCGCCUACACGAAGCCGGAAUCGCUAGUAAUGGCGCAUCAGCUACGGCGCCGUAAAUACGUUCCCGGGUCU